AUGUCCUACGGGAGGCAGCAGUGGGGAAUAUUGCACAAUGGGGGGAACCCUGAUGCAGCGACGCCGCGUGAGCGAUGAAGUAUUUCGGUAUGUAAAGCUCUAUCAGCAGGGAAGAAAAUGACGGUACCUGAGUAAGAAGCCCCGGCUAACUACGUGCCAGCAGCCGCGGUAAUACGUAGGGGGCAAGCGUUAUCCGGAUUUACUGGGUGUAAAGGGAGCGUAGACGGUGCGCCAAGUCUGGAGUGAAAUGCCGCAGCUUAACUGCGGAACUGCUUUGGACACUGGCGAACUAGAGUGCGGGAGGG
Molecule: ribosomal RNA, 305 nt
Filed under: uncultured bacterium
Lineage: Bacteria
Description: bacterial SSU rRNA
Rfam family: Bacterial small subunit ribosomal RNA
Source: RNAcentral